Non-coding RNA from Schistosoma rodhaini, 45 nucleotides. NCBI's taxonomy places the organism in Eukaryota, Metazoa, Platyhelminthes, Trematoda, Strigeidida, Schistosomatidae. The record is from Rfam.
AUCCAGCCGACGAGUCCCAAAUAGGAUGAAACGCGUGUCCUGGAU